RNAcentral lists this ribosomal RNA (578 nucleotides) under Flavobacterium sp. HDG3. Its description in RNAcentral is "partial 16S ribosomal RNA". The record is from RNAcentral. Lineage: Bacteria; Pseudomonadati; Bacteroidota; Flavobacteriia; Flavobacteriales; Flavobacteriaceae.
CCGUCAAUUCCUUUGAGUUUCACCCUUGCGGGCGUACUCCCCAGGUGGAUAACUUAACGCUUUCGCUUGGACGCUUACGGUAUAUCGCAAACAUCGAGUUAUCAUCGUUUAGGGCGUGGACUACCAGGGUAUCUAAUCCUGUUCGAUCCCCACGCUUUCGUGCAUCAGCGUCAAUAACGGCUUAGACAGCUGCCUUCGCAAUCGGUGUUCUGAGACAUAUCUAUGCAUUUCACCGCUACUUGUCUCAUUCCGCCGUCUUCAACCGCAUUCAAGCACUUCAGUAUCAAGGGCACUGCGACAGUUGAGCUGCCGUCUUUCACCCCUGACUUAAAGUGCCGCCUACGCACCCUUUAAACCCAAUAAAUCCGGAUAACGCUCGGAUCCUCCGUAUUACCGCGGCUGCUGGCACGGAGUUAGCCGAUCCUUAUUCUCCGGGUACGUUCAGCCCACUACACGUAGUGGGGUUUAUUCCCCGGCAAAAGCAGUUUACAACCCAUAGGGCAGUCGUCCUGCACGCGGCAUGGCUGGUUCAGGGUUGCCCCCAUUGACCAAUAUUCCUUACUGCUGCCUCCCGUAGG